GGGUGCGCGGAAGGGAGUUUUUAUAGUGCACCAAGCGCCGCGAUAUCUCGACUGCCGGCGCAGAUCAUCCCGAGCUGUAAUUGGCUGAGUGUUAUCCCGCCCCCGCCACGUUCUCUCUGCGCCUGCGCGUUUCCCUUGCCGAAGCCGCGACGGGCGCCGACGGGGAGAGACUAUAAAGAGCUCUCGCGCGCGCCUCUCCGGCCCCGUCGUGCUCACGAGUGCGUCGUCCCGCGCUGUCUGCCAGGUUCCACCGAAUCUGGAGACUGCUACCGCCGCUUCGCCCGCGAAAAUGGCAGGGUUCCGGCGUCCUGUUAAAUAAAGUGGUUUAACUUUCCGUGUA
Molecule: long non-coding RNA, 340 nt
Organism: Alexandromys fortis (reed vole)
Lineage: Eukaryota; Metazoa; Chordata; Mammalia; Rodentia; Cricetidae
Exons: 2
Source: RefSeq, a predicted model, not a curated record